This is a long non-coding RNA of Jatropha curcas, 1005 nucleotides long. RefSeq lists it as uncharacterized. Lineage: Eukaryota; Viridiplantae; Streptophyta; Magnoliopsida; Malpighiales; Euphorbiaceae. The record is from RefSeq and is a predicted model, not a curated record.
UGGAAAGGAGAUAGAGUCCCAAGGAAACGGAACAGAAAUAAAUAUCAAGGCUUCCGCUACAACUGUUCCCUAGGUUUUGUUCUCUAGGGUUCAAUCAUGGGUUCCAAGGUCGAGGAUCCAAAGGUGCAGGAAGAGCCAAGGGAAGAUCCACUCACUUUUUCGGAGAAGCCAAAGGUUGAGGCCAGCAGCGUCCACGAACAAUCUGAGGAGAAGGUUGAGGAUGCGAUGGAUAAAGACAACCGCGAGCUAAUGGGGUGGAAACUUGAUUACGGUAGCGCUUUAGAAGACAGCUCAGAUAGUGAGCAUAGCGAAGAUUUAAAUGAUGAUGACAAGGUCGACAGGAAUAGUUUUAACAGAUAAUACUGGAGACAGCUUGAUCGGAGCGAAGUUUUUUUUUUCGUCGAUCCCAGACUUUUACCAGGAUAUGAUUCAGCUUAUAUUCGUCCGCUUAAUAUUUAUGAUGAGGAUGAUUUCUUUACCAAAAUGGUUAAGAAGGGCACUGAAUACGCUGUUGAGGAAUACAAUAAAAAAGAGGGUGCAGAGCUGAAACUUGAUAAUUAAUAUUUGCAACUGCUACUGGCUUUCAGCAUUAUGUAACAUUUUCGGGUGAAGAUGAAGUAUCAGGCAAAACAGGCACUUACCAGAUGUCUGUUACUCAAAAGUUGGAAGCUGAUAAUGUCUCAGAUGAAGCUGUAUAUAAAUAUUUCAAUUUUCUCAGGCCAGAACCAGAGAAAAUUAAUUUGCAGGCCGGAGUUCGUAACUGGUGGAAUUGAAGAUAAUGCAUUUGGAGUUUUGAGAGCCAAGGUGAACCUAUUGCAUCAAUUAACGAUGAUGGCAUAAUCCUGGAGGUUGGAAUUUGCAAAUGUCAGAAAAUCAAUAACAUACAAGAAUAAUUAAGAAGGCCAUGCACCUUGAUUAAAAUAAGGUUGUCUUGUGUUUUAGAUUUUAUUUGUUUAUUUAUUUUGAUAGAUUUAGGCUUGUUUUUUGAAUUUAAUUACAAUCAAA